GUUUACAGCAAAGGCAUUACUCUAACACAUUAUGUAAUUGCCAAGCAUAUGUAAACAAUUAAUAAUUAAGGUAUGUGAUAAUCAUUCAUUGGCCAAGUGUAAAGUAUUCAAAGUACUUGGCAUGCACCCAUUGGUUUGCUUAAUGCUACUGGCAUAGGAAAUAAUUAUUUAUUUAUUUUGAUUAGGACAUUCUAAGAACUAUUUCAUUUGUGUUAAUAUAUGCAACUGGUUUUUUUUAGACUCUAUCUAAGUCACUAAGUGGUAUGUGCUAGAAAUUGAUAUAGAUAUCUUGUAUUGUAGCACAUCUGAAAUUAAAUCAACUUCUGUAGAAUGAAAGUGAUCCAAUA
Molecule: unclassified non-coding RNA, 347 nt
Filed under: Hevea brasiliensis (rubber tree)
Lineage: Eukaryota; Viridiplantae; Streptophyta; Magnoliopsida; Malpighiales; Euphorbiaceae
Source: RNAcentral